GCUGAGGCUCAUCUUGUAAUCAGCACUGGCUUAGCUCCAGCCCAGGGGCAAGCUGCCCAGUUGCCAUGGCACUCUGAAAUAACAUAAGGGUAUGCUGUAGAUGGCUGGCAAACUAGAUCAAUCUGAGCCUGAGGAUUCAGUGGCAGAAAGAUUCUGAAUAUCCCUCACCCAUGUUGGGCAAUUGUAAAGAUGAAUUAACAACCUUAUAAGUUGAUCAUUAUUUGAACUCUCAUUGGCUGUUUCUUUAUUUGGCUCUCACUUCAUAUACUACUACUUUGCCUCUGUGUGAUUUGCAGGUUGUUGGAGAUCUUAUGGUGAGGAUCCAGCGCAUACCAGAUUUCACUCCCAAACUUCUGCUGGUCAGAAAGCGUCUGCUUGGAUUGGAGCCUGAAGGGCCCAUGUAAGUAAAUACAUCACAAAUCCUCCACACAAGCCUUUUUUGUGUCCGGAUUCUCCUUAGCUCCUGUUGUUUUUUUCUUUCUCAGUAUUGACCACAUGACGUUGCUGGAGGGCGUGAUUGUACUGGAAGAGUUCUGUAAAGAGCUAGCAGCGAUUGCAUUUGUGAAAUACCAUGCCUCAUCUACACCCUAAGCAGCCACUUGAAGUGACUGGGCUACAAAAUCGAGUGUGUUUCAGUCAAAAAAGACUAUUGACUUCACCAAACAAGAAGAGAGAGAGAGCCUCCUAACAAAGAGUUGAUGUAAUUUGACAGUUGUUAUGGAUGGCAGUGGAGGAUGAGUUCUUGGCCACUGUUCAUGAUUUCCUGGCGCACUCUGCACUCUGAUGGAGAUAUAAUCAAAUGGACAUUGAACCCAGGAUGCAAUCAGAGAGACUUCAGGGCAGACAAAACAACAUUUCCAGUCACUGUUUGAAGAACUGAAAAAAAUGUCUGAAGAGCCACAAACUUCAGAACUUUGGUUACCAGGCCAUUGUUUUAACAACAUUUUAGGGGGAUCCCUCCACAAAGCAACACGGGGUCACUGUUCCUGUGACAACAUACCAAGAACAAUAGCUAUUCCUAAGGAGAUAGCGAGAAGGUGGGAACCAGGAGAAGAGCUCCGUGUAGCUCAAAAGCUUGUCCCUUCCACCAACAGAAGCUGGUGCAAUAAAAAAUAUUACAUCACCCUCCUUGUUUCUCUACUGGUAACCAUUAUUAGUAGGGCCCUACCAAAUUCACGGCCAUGAGAAACAUGUCACGGACUAUGAAAUCUAGUCUUCGCCUAGGGUUAUCAGAUGUCCCGAUUUUAUAGGGACAGUUCCGAUUUUGGUGUCUUUUUCUUAUAUAGGCUUCUAUUACCCCCCACCCUAUCCCGAUUUUUCACACUUGUCUGGUCACCCUAUCUCCACCCAUGAAAUCUGGUCUUUUGUGUGCUUUUACCCUAUACUAUACAGAUUUGACGGGGAGACCAAAUUUCUCAAAAGAGUUGCAAGGUUAUUUUAGGGGGCUUACCGUAUUGCCACCCUUACUUCUGCGCUGCCUUCCGAGCUGGACAGCCGGAGAGCGGUGGCUGUUGGCCGGGUGCCCAGUUCUGAAGACAGCACCACGCCAACAGUAGUGCAGAAGUAAGGGUGGAAAUACCGUACCAUACCAUCCUUCCUUCUGCGCUGCUGCCUUCAGAGCUGGGCAGCCGGAGAGUGGUGGCUGCUGACUGAUACCAUACCAUGCCCUCCUUACUUCUGCGCUGCUGCUGGCAGUGGCUCUGCCUUCAGAGCUGGGCUCCCAGCCAGCAGCCGCCGCUCUCCAGCUAGCCAGCUCUGAAGGCAGCACUGCCGCCUGCAGCAGCGCAGNCUGCUGCCUGCAGCAGCGCAGAAGUAAGGGUAGCAGUACAGCAACCCCCCUGCAAUAACCUUGUGACCCCCUCAACUCCUUUUUUGGGUCAGGACCCCUACAGUUACAACACCAUGCCAUUUCAGAUAUAAAUGUCAUGAUUUGAGCUAAGAUUUUUUAAAUCCUAUGGCCAUGAAAUUGACCAAAAUGGACCAUGAAUUUGAUGGGGUUCUAGUUAUAAGUUGCCCACACAGCACUUCCCAUGCAAGCCUUUACCUUUAUUCUUAAAUUAAAAAGCAUUACACAGAAAACAUGAAAAACAAUAAAAGAACCUACAUUCAUGCA
Long non-coding RNA from Gopherus agassizii (Agassiz's desert tortoise), 2113 nucleotides. Lineage: Eukaryota; Metazoa; Chordata; Testudines; Testudinidae. The record is from Ensembl.